AGAGUUUGAUCCUGGCUCAGGAUGAACGCUAGCGGGAGGCCUAACACAUGCAAGCCGAGCGGUAUUGUUUCUUCGGAAAUGAGAGAGCGGCGUACGGGUGCGGAACACGUGUGCAACCUGCCUUUAUCUGGGGGAUAGCCUUUCGAAAGGAAGAUUAAUACUCCAUAAUAUAUUGAACGGCAUCGUUUAAUAUUGAAGGCUCCGGCGGAUAGAGAUGGGCACGCGCAAGAUUAGCUAGUUGGUGAGGUAACGGCUCACCAAGGCAAUGAUCUUUAGGGGGCCUGAGAGGGUGAUCCCCCACACUGGUACUGAGACACGGACCAGACUCCUACGGGAGGCAGCAGUGAGGAAUAUUGGUCAAUGGGUGCAAGCCUGAACCAGCCAUCCCGCGUGAAGGACGACUGCCCUAUGGGUUGUAAACUUCUUUUGUAUAGGGAUAAACCUUCCCACGUGUGGGAAGCUGAAGGUACUAUACGAAUAAGCACCGGCUAACUCCGUGCCAGCAGCCGCGGUAAUACGGAGGGUGCAAGCGUUAUCCGGAUUUAUUGGGUUUAAAGGGUCCGUAGGCGGACUUAUAAGUCAGUGGUGAAAGCCUGUCGCUUAACGAUAGAACUGCCAUUGAUACUGUAAGUCUUGAGUAUAAUUGAGGUAGCUGGAAUAAGUAGUGUAGCGGUGAAAUGCAUAGAUAUUACUUAGAACACCAAUUGCGAAGGCAGGUUACCAAGUUAUAACUGACGCUGAGGGACGAAAGCGUGGGGAGCGAACAGGAUUAGAUACCCUGGUAGUCCACGCCGUAAACGAUGCUAACUCGUUUUUGGGGCGCAAGCUUCAGAGACCAAGCGAAAGUGAUAAGUUAGCCACCUGGGGGAGUACGCUCGCAAGAGUGAAACUCAAAGGAAUUGACGG
Molecule: ribosomal RNA, 906 nt
Filed under: uncultured Bacteroidota bacterium
Lineage: Bacteria; Pseudomonadati; Bacteroidota
Description: bacterial SSU rRNA
Rfam family: Bacterial small subunit ribosomal RNA
Source: RNAcentral